RNAcentral lists this ribosomal RNA (655 nucleotides) under uncultured fungus. RNAcentral describes it as "eukaryotic LSU rRNA". It matches the Rfam family "Eukaryotic large subunit ribosomal RNA", at positions 1 to 649 of the family's 3401-position model. Lineage: Eukaryota; Fungi. The record is from RNAcentral.
CAACCCCCAACUCUCAGGGUUGACCCCGGAUCAGGUAGGGAUNCCCGCUGAACUUAAGCAUAUCAAUAAGCGGAGGAAAAGAANCCNNCAGGGAUUGCCUCAGUAACGGCGAGUGAAGCGGCAACAGCUCAAAUUUGAAAUCUGGCUCCUUCGGGNUCCGAGUUGUAAUUUGUAGAAGAUGCUUUGGGUGUGGUCCCCGGUCUAAGUUCCUUGGAACAGGACGUCAUAGAGGGUGAGAAUCCCGUAUGUGACUGGGUCGCCACGCCCGUGUAAAGCUCUUUCGACGAGUCGAGUUGUUUGGGAAUGCAGCUCAAAAUGGGUGGUAAAUUUCAUCUAAAGCUAAAUAUGGGCCAGAGACCGAUAGCGCACAAGUAGAGUGAUCGAAAGAUGAAAAGCACUUUGGAAAGAGAGUUAAACAGUACGUGAAAUUGUUGAAAGGGAAGCGCUUGCAAUCAGACUUGCACGCCGUUGAUCAUCCAGGGUUCUCUCUGGUGCACUCGGCGGCGUUCAGGCCAGCAUCGGUUCGGGUGGUGGGAUAAAGGCCUUGGGAAUGUAGCUCCUCUCGGGGAGUGUUAUAGCCCUCGGUGCAAUGCCGCCUACCUGGACCGAGGACCGCGCUUCGGCUAGGAUGCUGGCGUAAUGGUUGUAAGCGACC